This 473-nucleotide ribosomal RNA is filed under the name uncultured bacterium. Its description in RNAcentral is "bacterial SSU rRNA". It matches the Rfam family "Bacterial small subunit ribosomal RNA", at positions 28 to 518 of the family's 1533-position model. The record is from RNAcentral.
GAUGAACGCUGGCGGCGUGCUUAACACAUGCAAGUCGAACGUGAGAGGUAGCAAUAUCUUGAAAGUGGCGCACGGGUGAGUAACACGUAGGUAACCUGCCUCGGAGUGGGGGAUAACAGUUAGAAAUGACUGCUAAUACCGCAUGAAUCCAUUAAGAUGGGAAUGUUGAUGGAGAAAACUCUGGUGCUUCGAGAGGGGCCUGCGGUCGAUUAGCUAGUUGGCGGGGUAACGGCCCACCAAGGCGACGAUCGAUAGCUGGUCUGAGAGGACGAUCAGCCACACGGGAACUGAGACACGGUCCCGACUCCUACGGGGGCAGCAGUGAGGAAUAUUGGGCAAUGGGCGGAAGCCUGACCCAGCAACGCCGCGUGGAGGAAUGAAAGGCCUUCGGGUUGUAAACUCCUUUUGCAGGGGAAGAGGAAGGACGGUACCCGUGCGAAUAAGUCACGGCUAACUAACGUGCCAGCAGCCGC